AGAGUUUGAUCCUGGCUCAGGAUGAACGCUGGCGGCGUGCCUAAUACAUGCGAGUCGAACGCUUCACUUCGGUGAAGAGUGGCGAACGGGUGAGUAAUACAUAAGUAACCUGGCAUCUACAGGGGGAUAACUGAUGGAAACGUCAGCUAAGACCGCAUAGGUGUAGAGAUCGCAAGAACUCUAUAUGAAAAGUGCUACGGGACUGGUAGAUGAUGGACUUAUGGCGCAUUAGCUUGUUGGUAGGGUAACGGCCUACCAAGGCGACGAUGCGUAGCCGAUCUGAGAGGGUGACCGGCCACACUGGGACUGAGACACGGCCCAGACUCCUACGGGAGGCAGCAGUAGGGAAUUUUCGGCAAUGGGGGAAACCCUGACCGUGCAACGCCGCGUGAAGGAAGAAGUAAUUCGUUAUGUAAACUUCUGUCAUAGAGGAAGAACGGUGGAUAUAGGGAAUGAUAUCCAAGUGACGGUACUCUAUAAGAAAGCCACGGCUAACUACGUGCCAGCAGCCGCGGUAAUACGUAGGUGGCGAGCGUUAUCCGGAAUUAUUGGGCGUAAAGAGGGAGCAGGCGGCACUAAGGGUCUGUGGUGAAAGAUCGAAGCUUAACUUCGGUAAGCCAUGGAAACCGUAGAGCUAGAGUGUGUGAGAGGAUCAUGGAAUUCCAUGUGUAGCGGUGAAAUGCGUAGAUAUAUGGAGGAACACCAGUGGCGAAGGCGACGAUCUGGCGCAUAACUGACGCUCAGUCCCGAAAGCGUGGGGAGCAAAUAGGAUUAGAUACCCUAGUAGUCCACGCCGUAAACGAUGAGUACUAAGUGUUGGGUGUCAAAGCUCAGUGCUGCAGUUAACGCAAUAAGUACUCCGCCUGAGUAGUACGUUCGCAAGAAUGAAACUCAAAGGAAUUGACGGGGGCCCGCACAAGCGGUGGAGCAUGUGGUUUAAUUCAAGCAACGCGAAGAACCUUACCAGGUCUUGACAUCGAUCUAAAGGCUCCAGAGAUGGAGAGAUAGCUAUAGAGAAGACAGGUGGUGCAUGGUUGUCGUCAGCUCGUGUCGUGAGAUGUUGGGUUAAGUCCCGCAACGAGCGCAACCCCUGUUGCCAGUUGCCAGCAUUAAGUUGGGGACUCUGGCGAGACUGCCGGUGACAAGCCGGAGGAAGGCGGGGAUGACGUCAAAUCAUCAUGCCCCUUAUGACCUGGGCUACACACGUGCUACAAUGGACAGAGCAGAGGGAAGCGAAGCCGCGAGGUGGAGCGAAACCCAUAAAACUGUUCUCAGUUCGGACUGCAGUCUGCAACUCGACUGCACGAAGAUGGAAUCGCUAGUAAUCGCGAAUCAGCAUGUCGCGGUGAAUACGUUCUCGGGCCUUGUACACACCGCCCGUCACACCAUGAGAGUCGGUAACACCCGAAGCCGGUGGCCUAACCGCAAGGAAGGAGCUGUCUAAGGUGGGACUGAAGAUUGGGGUGAAGUCGUAACAAGGUA
Molecule: ribosomal RNA, 1482 nt
Filed under: metagenome
Description: bacterial SSU rRNA
Rfam family: Bacterial small subunit ribosomal RNA
Source: RNAcentral